UGAAGAGGGAGGACCAGGUGCAUUGUUGGCUGACUGAAUGAGCAGCAGGCCCGUGGACAGGGCCAAGGAACCCUACCAACAUCGCCUCCUGCUCCUGCAGCACCUGGCUUUCUCUUGAGGCCUCCCAUCCAACGCCUGACUCCACUCAGCUCGUGAAUGCUGACAAGUUCACACCUGGAGGUUACAGAGCUGCAGCGUCCCCUGCCUCUGGGACAGAAAGGGAGAUUCCAUGAAGAGGAAACAUACACGCUACCAUUAUAGACUAUGCUAUUAUAGACUAUGCUAUAGAUACAGGGUCAGAUCCAUCCCUGGUGUAACUCCAUUGAAG
Mauremys mutica (yellowpond turtle) is the source of this 328-nucleotide long non-coding RNA. RefSeq lists it as uncharacterized. Lineage: Eukaryota; Metazoa; Chordata; Testudines; Geoemydidae. The transcript has 3 exons. The record is from RefSeq and is a predicted model, not a curated record.